AAAAGUAUGAAGAUAUUUAGUAAGCGUGGGUUCCACCACACUAUACUGCUAUACCAAACCUGAAAAUGAACGAAUAUUAUAACAGCAUAGUAAGCGUGGGUCACUCCACACUAUACUGUACGAUAAGACAAUUAAAGCCGCCAGUAAAAACUACGGUGAAAAGGAUUUUUACUCACACCUAUUAAGACUAGAAGAUAAACAUUGAAUCGUGUGUGAGUGGAAUUUUGUGUACAAAAUAAAAGAAAAACUGUAUAUAUUGUGUACAUACAACUGUUUAUUUCUUGAUGGUGGAGGUUGAUUAUUACUACUACUCCUUUGGAGGUUGUCCUGAAGGACGGAAGAAGAUUCAGCGG
This 353-nucleotide long non-coding RNA is filed under the name Mytilus galloprovincialis (Mediterranean mussel). The record is from RNAcentral. Lineage: Eukaryota; Metazoa; Mollusca; Bivalvia; Mytilida; Mytilidae.